AAUAAGAUCAUUUUUCAGUUUUUUAAUACAAUAUUUUGACUUUUCUUCUUAUUUGAAUUUUUUGUGAUUAAUAUUUUUAUUCUUCAUACAUGAUAAAACAUAAAUAGUAUUUUAUACGUGACUAAUUUUUUUAAGUUUGUUUACAAUUUUUUCAAAUAAGACGAAUGGUCAAACGUUAUACAUGGAAAAAUGAACUUAUU
RNAcentral lists this microRNA precursor (200 nucleotides) under Oryza brachyantha (malo sina). RNAcentral describes it as "MIR812 microRNA precursor family". It matches the Rfam family "MIR812 microRNA precursor family". Lineage: Eukaryota; Viridiplantae; Streptophyta; Magnoliopsida; Poales; Poaceae. The record is from Rfam by way of RNAcentral.